This 74-nucleotide transfer RNA is filed under the name Thermoplasmatales archaeon SW_10_69_26. RNAcentral's name for it is "tRNA-Lys". It matches the Rfam family "tRNA". Rfam says of the family: Transfer RNA (tRNA) molecules are approximately 80 nucleotides in length. Lineage: Archaea; Methanobacteriati; Thermoplasmatota; Thermoplasmata; Thermoplasmatales. The record is from RNAcentral.
GGGCUGGUAGCUUAGAUAGGUAGAGCGGCCGGCUCUUAACCGGCAGGCCAAGGGUUCGAAUCCCUUCCAGCCCG